GCUACACGUCUAGAGCUGUGCACAUCACUGUAAAUAAGUCUGCAGACUCUGAAAGUUGCAUACAUCAAAGUGAAUUCAAACCAGUUGCAGGUGGGUGAGUUUCUCUGCUGUGAAGAGGCUCCUGGCUGUGAAUAAACAUAAAGCAAAGGAAACGCUGGAAUCUGUUUCUGCUGUGCAGCAAGCUCUGGUUCACUGUCAUCUCAAGGAUUUUGCUAAAGGACUUUCUGUAUGGUGAAAAUCACUUCCUGUCACCUCCUUUCUGUUGCUGGAGUAGCAAAAAGAAAUAAUUUCCCAAUACUUUAGAAGAGACAAAAAGACAAGGACCAAAUACAUUCCAAACCGGAGAAACCAAAAAGGUCAUCAGAUUAACAUACCGUGCAGUACAGACCUCAGAAGAUGCCUUCUUUUCCGCUUUUAAAUAUGUUUGGCAGACAGCUGACCAAAAUGAGUAUUGUGACCUCAUUUCCAAUUAGCUUUUUGUUAGUGGGUUUGCAGGCAAUUGUGGAUGUAAAAUUUUCAUGCCCAUGCAAAGCUGACCGGAACAAAGCUAUAUCAGCUUUCAUCUUCAUUGUUCCAGCUCUCUUUGCUUUCGUUAUAAUGUUCGUAUUGUUAAGGCCUUGUCAAUAUAAAUGUAGAUGUAAAAAACAAAACAACACUGAAACAUCUCAAGGAAAAGACACCAAAGAAACAUCUCAAGGACAGGACAACAGUGAAACAUCUCUAGAAAAAGUUUUUGUAGUUUGUUGUAUUCCAGGUAUUGUGUGGAUCUGUAUAUGUUUCAUUGAUGGUGAUUAUUUUGCAUGUGGAUUAACAAACUGGACUGGACGCUAUGCCUGUGAUAAUGAACUGCAUCCAAAUUGUUUGAAUUGGUGCAAACCCACUGAAUUAAGCCCAGAAGAAUAUGAGACUGAAUAUUACGAAAAAACACGGGAGUUGAUAUUUACAUCAAAGAUUAUAGGUUAUAUUCUGGCUAUUAUCUUCUGCAUCAUAGCAAUCAUUUGGGUGAGUUGGGAAGCCUUAGCAAAGCCAAAGAAGAAAGGUGUGGCAAGUUCGAUGAGCAACGCUAAAAGCGCAGAUGAGGCAGAAACAUCCUUAAGUGACGACCCAGCAGAGACAAAGACAGUCACGAAAGACGGGGCAAGUCAAACAAUCAUUCAGAUGAUCAACAUUAAAUGGGCAACUGAGGAUACAAUUCUCAUAAAGACAUCUUGUGACCAAAGUUUGGAUGAAUCUUUUUGAAUGAGACCUGACUUCAUGAGGGGAUCAGCGGAAAGAUUUUCAGUGAAUAACAGAUAAAAUUUCACUCUCUUCCUCAUACAAAAUAUGCCAUCAGAGCACUUGAAAUGCAGCAAGUUAUUUGGACUAUUUUUGUACUGAUUGUUUUAUUUUUAAUUUUUAUAAACGACCCAUAAAAAGAGAAAGAUCCUUUGCAAGCUGCAGAAAGAUGUAAAUAAUAGAGUUCAGGUUUGUAUGUUCCAUUCAUGUUCUCUUCCAAAGAUUCUUUUCCUGUUUAUGAUUUUUGUUUUAUUUGAGAGAUUUUUUUAUUGUGUUAAUUUCUAUUUGUUUCAGUUAAAUGAUUGUCUGUUGUUUUUAAAGCUGCUGUCCGUAACUUUUUUUGGUUAAAAAUGAUCCAAAAUCAAUUAUUGAGCAAGUACAGUACAUAACCAGCCAGUGUUCAAAACUAUUUCCUUACCUUAACCCGAUUCACAACGGUAAGCUUGUAAUAAUGUUUUGUAAUCUGAUACUGGUAGGAAUUUGGGGGAAAUACGAGUUUGCUGACAUUUGUCUUUGCAUCAAUACGUCAUGUCUGUAAACAGAAAGAAGGAGUCCUGGCUAGUUGGCUAUGUCGCAUGUGUGGAUGCUGCUGGUGGUGCAUCAGUUGUAGCCUCUUCUUGCAGCAGCUGCAAUGUAUUUAAACUUGAGAUGGUGGCUUGUAAUCCAGAAAGUUCAAAACGACAAUCAUCAUCAACAACUGUGGUAAAAAAAGUAAAAGACUUUAAUCUUCCUUGCUGGACAGGUAAGAUAUUUAAAUGGUUCACUGGGUAAUAAGGUUACAGUAGCACAUGUUUUCGCUUAAUCCAUACAGUUAUGGAUAACGAUAAUACACACUAAAUACACGUAGUCACGCAGUGUUAAUGUUUUUAGCAUUAACAAUUCGAGAACAAAGUAAAACAAUAAUAAUUUAGCUGCAGCUGCACCUCAAAACAUUAGAUUCAUCCGCGCUGAGGAGCCGUGCCGAAGCACUACCCACGUAAAGAUAAUUCCACAAAUCACUGCAAUUGCAGGUUUCAAACAGAGAUGGCGACAAAGAGGCAAAACUUACGGACUGCAGCUUUAAAGGAACACCCCACUUUUUUUGAAAAUAGGCUCAUUUUCCAACUCCCCUAUAGUUAAACAGUUGAGUUUUACCGUUUUCGAAUCCAUUCAGCCGAUCUCCGGGUCUGGCGGUACCACUUUUAGCAUAGCUUAGCAUAGUUCAUUGAAUCUGAUUAGACCGUUAGCAUCUCGCACAAAAAUGACCAAAGAGUUUCGAUAUUUUUCCUAUUUAAAACUUGACUCUUCUGUAGUUACAUCGUGUACUAAGACCGACGGAAAAUGAA
Ctenopharyngodon idella (grass carp) is the source of this 2600-nucleotide long non-coding RNA. RefSeq lists it as uncharacterized. NCBI's taxonomy places the organism in Eukaryota, Metazoa, Chordata, Actinopteri, Cypriniformes, Xenocyprididae. The transcript has 5 exons. The record is from RefSeq and is a predicted model, not a curated record.